RNAcentral lists this ribosomal RNA (815 nucleotides) under uncultured bacterium. Its description in RNAcentral is "bacterial SSU rRNA". It matches the Rfam family "Bacterial small subunit ribosomal RNA", at positions 8 to 796 of the family's 1533-position model. The record is from RNAcentral.
AGAGUUUGAUCAUGGCUCAGAACGAACGCUGGCGGCGUGGAUAAGACAUGCAAGUCGAGCGCUGAUUACAGGGUAGCAAUAUUCUGUGGUCGGAGCGGCGCAAGGGUGCGUAACACGUGGGUAAUCUGCCAUGAAGUUUGGAAUAACUCGCUGAAAGGCGAGCUAAUGCCGGAUGUGACAAUUUGGAGGCAUCUUCGAAUUGUCAAAGCUGGGGACCGUAAGGCCUGGCGCUUCAUGAUGAGCCCGCGGCCUAUCAGCUAGUUGGUGAGGUAACGGCUCACCAAGGCUAAGACGGGUAGCUGGUCUGAGAGGACGACCAGCCACACUGGAACUGAGACACGGUCCAGACACCUACGGGUGGCAGCAGUCGAGAAUUUUUCACAAUGGGCGCAAGCCUGAUGGAGCGACGCCGCGUGGGGGAUGAAUGGCUUCGGCCCGUAAACCCCUGUCAUUUGCGAACAAGUUGGUUCAAUUAACACCUGAACCAUUGAUAGUAGCGAAAGAGGAAGGGACGGCUAACUCUGUGCCAGCAGCCGCGGUAAUACAGAGGUCCCAAGCGUUGUUCGGAUUCACUGGGCGUAAAGGGUGCGUAGGUGGUGAGGUAAGUCGGAUGUGAAAUCUCCGAGCUCAACUCGGAAACUGCAUUGGAAACUACCUUGCUCGAGGGUUGGAGGGGGGACUGGAAUACUUGGUGUAGCAGUGAAAUGCGUAGAUAUCAAGUGGAACACCAGUGGCGAAGGCGAGUCCCUGGACAACUCCUGACACUGAGGCACGAAAGCUAGGGGAGCAAACAGGAUUAGAUACCCUAGUAGUCC